This 1497-nucleotide ribosomal RNA is filed under the name Plasmodium inui. RNAcentral's name for it is "SSU rRNA". It matches the Rfam family "Eukaryotic small subunit ribosomal RNA", at positions 162 to 1439 of the family's 1831-position model. Lineage: Eukaryota; Apicomplexa; Aconoidasida; Haemosporida; Plasmodiidae. The record is from RNAcentral.
AGCUAAUACUUGCUUUAGCACUCUUGAUUAAGUUCUUGAGUGUGUACUUGUUAAGCCUUUUAAGAAAAAAGUUAUUAACUUAAGGAAUUAUAACAAAGAAGCAACACGUAAAUGGAUUUUCCAUUUUUUAGUGUGUAUCAAUCGAGUUUCUGACCUAUCAGCUUUUGAUGUUAGGGUAUUGGCCUAACAUGGCUAUGACGGGUAACGGGGAAUUAGAGUUCGAUUCCGGAGAGGGAGCCUGAGAAAUAGCUACCACAUCUAAGGAAGGCAGCAGGCGCGUAAAUUACCCAAUUCUAAAGAAGAGAGGUAGUGACAAGAAAUAACAAUACAAGGCCAAUCUGGCUUUGUAAUUGGAAUGAUGGGAAUUUAAAACCUUCCCAAAACUCAAUUGGAGGGCAAGUCUGGUGCCAGCAGCCGCGGUAAUUCCAGCUCCAAUAGCGUAUAUUAAAAUUGUUGCAGUUAAAACGCUCGUAGUUGAAUUUCAAAGAAUCGAUAUUUUAAGUAGCACUUUGUGGAUUAAUCCACAUAACUGAUACUACGUAUCGACUUUGUGCGCAUUUUUCUACUUAUGUGUUCUUUUAAUUAAAAUGAUUCUUUUUAAGAUCUUUCUUUUUUGCUUCGGCAUUUUAGGAGAUCUUGUUACUUUGAGUAAAUUAGAGUGUUCAAAGCAAACAGAUUAUAGCAUCUUUAUGCGUUUGAAUACUACAGCAUGGAAUAACAAAAUUGAACAAGUCAGAAUUUUGUUCUUUUUUCUUAUUUUGGCUUAGUUACGAUUAAUAGGAGUAGCUUGGGGGCAUUUGUAUUCAGAUGUCAGAGGUGAAAUUCUUAGAUUUUCUGGAGACAAACAACUGCGAAAGCAUUUGCCUAAAAUACUUCCAUUAAUCAAGAACGAAAGUUAAGGGAGUGAAGACGAUCAGAUACCGUCGUAAUCUUAACCAUAAACUAUGCCGACUAGGCUUUGGAUGAAAGAUUUUAAAAUAAGAGUUUUUUCUCUGAGGAGUUAAAACUCUUAGAUUGCUUCCUUCAGUGCCUUAUGAGAAAUCAAAGUCUUUGGGUUCUGGGGCGAGUAUUCGCGCAAGCGAGAAAGUUAAAAGAAUUGACGGAAGGGCACCACCAGGCGUGGAGCUUGCGGCUUAAUUUGACUCAACACGGGAAAACUCACUAGUUUAAGACAAGAGUAGGAUUGACAGAUUAAUAGCUCUUUCUUGAUUUCUUGGAUGGUGAUGCAUGGCCGUUUUUAGUUCGUGAAUAUGAUUUGUCUGGUUAAUUCCGAUAACGAACGAGAUCUUAACCUGCUAAUUAGCGGCAAAUACGAUAUAUUCUUAUGUGCAAUUGAAUAUAGUUGAUUUGCUUAUUUUGAAGAAAAUAUUGGGAUACGUAAAUGUAUCCCUUUCCCUUUUCUACUUAAUUUGCUUAUCAUACUAUUUCUUUUUUGCGUAAGAAUGUAUUUGCUUGAUUGUAAAGCUUCUUAGAGGAACGAUGUGUGUCUAACACAAG